This 773-nucleotide ribosomal RNA is filed under the name uncultured Bacteroidota bacterium. Its description in RNAcentral is "bacterial SSU rRNA". It matches the Rfam family "Bacterial small subunit ribosomal RNA", at positions 102 to 878 of the family's 1533-position model. The record is from RNAcentral. Lineage: Bacteria; Pseudomonadati; Bacteroidota.
ACGGGUGAGUAACGCGUAUACAAUCUGCCUCAUACUAGGGGAUAGCCCAGAGAAAUUUGGAUUAAUACCCUAUAGUAUCUUUUAGAGUCAUCUCUUUAAGAUUAAAGGCUACGGUAUGAGAUGAGUAUGCGUUCUAUUAGUUAGUAGGUGAGGUAACGGCUCACCGAGACCACGAUAGAUAGGGGCCCUGAGAGGGGGAUCCCCCACACUGGUACUGAGACACGGACCAGACUCCUACGGGAGGCAGCAGUGAGGAAUAUUAGACAAUGGGCGAAAGCCUGAUCUAGCCAUGCCGCGUGCAGGAUGACGGCCCUAUGGGUUGUAAACUGCUUUUAUACAGGAAGAAAAAACUCUACGUGUAGAGUCUUGACGGUACUGUAAGAAUAAGGAUCGGCUAACUCCGUGCCAGCAGCCGCGGUAAUACGGAGGAUCCAAGCGUUAUCCGGAAUUAUUGGGUUUAAAGGGUCCGUAGGUGGACAAUUAAGUCAGAGGUGAAAUCCUGCAGCUCAACUGUAGAAUUGCCUUUGAAACUGGUUGUCUUGAGUCAUUAUGAAGUGGUUAGAAUGUGUAGUGUAGCGGUGAAAUGCAUAGAUAUUACACAGAAUACCAAUUGCGAAGGCAGACCACUAAUAAUGUACUGACACUGAUGGACGAAAGCGUGGGUAGCGAACAGGAUUAGAUACCCUGGUAGUCCACGCCGUAAACGAUGGUCACUAGCUGUUCGGACUUCGGUCUGAGUGGCUAAGCGAAAGUGAUAAGUGACCCACCUGGGA